RNAcentral lists this ribosomal RNA (386 nucleotides) under uncultured bacterium. Its description in RNAcentral is "bacterial SSU rRNA". It matches the Rfam family "Bacterial small subunit ribosomal RNA", at positions 30 to 414 of the family's 1533-position model. The record is from RNAcentral.
AUUGAACGCUGGCGGCAUGCCUUACACAUGCAAGUCGAACGGCAGCGGGCCUUCGGGUGCCGGCGAGUGGCGAACGGGUGAGUAAUGCAUCGGAACGUGCCAUUGAGUGGGGGAGUAACGUAGCGAAAGUUGCGCUAAUACCGCAUAUUCUGUGAGCAGGAAAGCAGGGGACCGCAAGGCCUUGCGCUCUUUGAGCGGCCGAUGUCAGAUUAGCUAGUUGGUGAGGUAAAGGCUUACCAAGGCGACGAUCUGUAGCGGGUCUGAGAGGAUGAUCCGCCACACUGGAACUGAGACACGGUCCAGACUCCUACGGGAGGCAGCAGUGGGGAAUUUUGGACAAUGGGGGCGAACCCUCGAUCCAGCCACUGCCGCGUGAGUGAAGAAGG